AUCAUUCCUUUAAUAAUAGUCUAAAAAAAUCAUAAUGUCUGCUUUUUAACUCAACAAUUAGGUUUAAUUUCCCAUAAAUGAGGUUUAUUGACCAUGAAUACCAAAAAUAAGUGUAGAUCUAGUAAUGAGUUUGUGUCAGUGGUGUUUAUACAUGGCAGGGAAAACACUUGUUAAACGUUUUAAAAAAAGCGCCA
Molecule: long non-coding RNA, 194 nt
Organism: Etheostoma spectabile (orangethroat darter)
Lineage: Eukaryota; Metazoa; Chordata; Actinopteri; Perciformes; Percidae
Exons: 4
Source: RefSeq, a predicted model, not a curated record